UACGGAGGGGGCUAGCGUUGUUCGGAAUUACUGGGCGUAAAGCGCGCGUAGGCGGACCUGCAAGUCGGGGGUGAAAGCCCGGGUCUUAACCUCGGAACUGCCUUCGAUACUGCGGGUCUCGAGUCCGGGAGAGGUGAGUGUAAUUCCUAGUGUAGAGGUGAAAUUCGUAGAUAUUAGGAAGAACACCAGUGGCGAAGGCGGCUCACUGGCCCGGUACUGACGCUGAGGCGCGAAAGCGUGGGGAACAAACAGG
This 253-nucleotide ribosomal RNA is filed under the name uncultured bacterium. Its description in RNAcentral is "partial 16S ribosomal RNA". It matches the Rfam family "Bacterial small subunit ribosomal RNA", at positions 524 to 776 of the family's 1533-position model. The record is from RNAcentral.